AUGCAGGGCCACUUAUACAUGUCUUGUUGUCCUCACAGACUCUCUAGCGGCUCCAGGAAUCCGUGGGAUUCUCGUGGAGGAGGUUUGAGUUGCAUCUUAGAACAUGGAUCUUCUAUGUUCUUCCAGACUCAGGGCAGGCAUGGCCAUGGUGGGAACGACACCUUCUUGAGAUGGGAUGAAGGCAGGAGAUUCUGUCAUAGGAAGCUCAUGAUCAUUUCCGGUCUCAGCUGGUUGAGAGAAACCCAUUCUUCGCCAGCCAAAUCCUCUGCUGAUCAAACACACCUUGCUGUCAACAUGGACGACCAGGCUAAUUUGAGGUAUGGCAUCCACUCCUCUUCUUGAACUUGUGGCCUGAGCUCGAAUGACAGUGGCUGGAAGAGCCACAGCCAUUGUUUUAUGCAGUGAUUGUUGUUCCAAACAUACUAUAUCGGAUUAACCCCCAACUGAAUCCACUUCGAGGCCCCUGAAGAUGAGGCCUUUAAGAGAGAUUAGAUGUAAGCAGAACACAAAGGUGUGAAGACAUUGCCAAGGACAAGUCGCUUUGCCCACAAUUCUGGAUGUCCUUAUUUUGCAAGGUAAGGGUUUGGACUGCAGAAUUCCCGUAAGAGGCCUCCUUCCAGCUCCUGGAAGAUCCUAGAUUUGGAGUAUCCCCGCUGUUGGAGACUGAAUGCUUGUUCCAAGCCCACCUCCUCACCCCUCACCUUCCUACCCCCACCACCCGCUACCCUGUCCCAAUCCACGUGCUGAACCCCUAACUUGCAAUGUGCUGUUAUUUGGAGAUGGAUUCCUGGGGGUAAUAAUUAAAUCUAGAUGAGAUUAUGAGGGUGAAGCCCUCCUGAUGGGGUCAGCCUUGCAGGUUUGGUUUGGUUUGGUUUUGCUUUUUAGGGCCGCACCUGUGGCAUUUGGAAGUUGCCAGGCAACAGGUCAAGUUGGAAAUGCAGCUGCCAGCCAACACCACAGCCACAGCCAUGUGGGAUCCUUAACCCACUGAGUGAGGCCAGGGAUUGAACCCUCGUCCUCACGGAUACUAGUUGGGUUCAUUAACUCUGAGCCACAAGGGAAAGACGCCAGAGUGAGCACGUGCAUGUGCAUGUGUGUGCACGUGCAUGAGAGAGACACACACAGGCAGGUGCACUGCCAUGCACCAUGGCAGCUGUCUUGCCAGCCUGAAAAGGCUUCACCAAGAACCUAAUCUCCUGGCACCUUGAUCUGAGAUACCCAGGCUUAGAACUGUGAAGGAAUGAACUUCUCCUGCCGAAGCCCCAGCCUCACACCCCCAGUCUGUGGUAUUUUUGUUUCAGCAGCUGGUGCUGACUCAUCCAACUGCCCAGGAAUGAAAUGCUCGCAGGGAGCCGAACUCAGUGAAGCCUGGCCUUUUCACCAGCUCCGCAUCCCUUCAACACAUACUGAAGUCCUGCGUGCUUAUGAGCUGCUCCACCUGGGCUGCACACUGAGGACUUCAGAGAAAUAAACACAGUCUCUGCCUUCCAGGAACCUGCAGGCCAGCAGGGGUGACAGCCAUGCAGGCUCCGCUUUGUUAUAAAUACCUGAAGAUACUGCAGGGGGCGCAGGUCAGGACAAUGAGGGGAGGUAGGAGACACUUUGACAUGGGAGUUAUUCAUAAAGCACCUCAACGAGGCUCCUCAGACCUUUUUUUCCUUUUAAUUUUAUUCUUAUUAUUUUUUUUGUCUUUUUAGGGCCGCACCCACUGCAUAUGGAGGUUCCCAGGCUAGGGGUCUAAUUGGAGCCAGAGGCCUACACCAUAGCCACGCAGGAUCCGAGCUGCAUCUGCGACCUGCACCAUAGCUCACUGCAACACUGGAUCCUUAACCCACUGAGUGAGGUCAGGGAUCGAACCUGCAACCUCAUGGUUCCUAGUCGGAUUCGUUUCUGCUGUGCCACGACAGGAACUCCUCUUCCCUCUUUUUUAAUGAUACAUGUUCUGCAGGGACUGAGGACAGCAGUGGGGAAGCCAGGCCCUGAUGAGAAGUGGGAGCACCACGACUCCCUGUCUAAUUAGGGACUUUGUGCAGUGGCCACGUCUUACCCCAAAGUGGGCCAUUUCUGGCCCUUCUUUUUUUUUUUUUUUUUGACUUUUUUUUUUAAUUACUCAAAUGAAUUUAUCACAUCUGUAGUUGUAUAAUGAUCAUAACAAUCUGAUUUCACAGGAUUUCCAUCCCACAGCCCAGGCACUUCCCCCCACCCCCCAAACUGUCUCCUCCGGAGACCAUAAGUUUUUCAAUGUCUGUGAGUCAGCAUCUGUUCUGCAAAGAAGUUCCGUCUGUCCUUUUUUUCAGAUCCCACAUGUCCGUGAAAGCAUUUGAUGUUGGUGUCUUAUUGCAUGGCUGACUUCACUUAGCAUGAUAAUUUCUAGGUCCAUCCAUGUUGCUAAAAAUGCGGAUAUUUCCUUCUUUGUAAUGGCUGAGUAAUAUUCCCUUGUGUAUAUGUACCACAUCUUCUUGAUCCACUCCUCUGUCGAUGGACAUUUAGGUUGUUUCCAUGUCUUGGCUACUGUAAUUAGUGCUGCAAUGAACAUUGAAGUACAUGUGUCUUUGCGAGUCCUGGUUUUCUCUGGAUCCGGUCCCUCUUCUUAAACGCACUCUCCUCACCUGGGGACUUGAGCAAUUUCGGCAAACACAACCCCAGGGAAGCCCUAAGGGAGGGUAGGGGCCCAGGCAGGGCGCCUUAGGAAGGCCGCUCCUGGGCUCCCUCCAGUCCCCAGGGCAGGGAAAAUGGUCGUGGGCCCGAGGGGCAAGUGGAAGUGGGUGGGAAAGACGGUGACGGAGCCGAGGGAACCCGUGUGGGCAGG
This 2809-nucleotide long non-coding RNA is filed under the name Sus scrofa (pig). Its description in RNAcentral is "lncRNA (ENSSSCG00050053746.1)". Lineage: Eukaryota; Metazoa; Chordata; Mammalia; Artiodactyla; Suidae. The record is from RNAcentral.